RNAcentral lists this ribosomal RNA (1010 nucleotides) under Neolentithecia changchunensis. RNAcentral describes it as "SSU rRNA". It matches the Rfam family "Eukaryotic small subunit ribosomal RNA", at positions 56 to 1075 of the family's 1831-position model. Lineage: Eukaryota; Fungi; Ascomycota; Dothideomycetes; Pleosporales; Lentitheciaceae. The record is from RNAcentral.
UGUCUAAGUAUAAAGCAUUUAUACCGUGAAACUGCGAAUGGCUCAUUAAAUCAGUUAUCGUUUAUUUGAUAGUACCUUACUACUUGGAUAACCGUGGUAAUUCUAGAGCUAAUACAUGCUGAAAACCCCAACUUCGGAAGGGGUGUAUUUAUUAGAUAAAAAACCAAUGCCCUUCGGGGCUCCUUGGUGAUUCAUAAUAACUUCUCAGAUCGCAUGGCCUUGCGCCGGCGACGGUUCAUUCAAAUUUCUGCCCUAUCAACUUUCGAUGGUAAGGUAUUGGCUUACCAUGGUUUCAACGGGUAACGGGGAAUUAGGGUUCGAUUCCGGAGAGGGAGCCUGAGAAACGGCUACCACAUCCAAGGAAGGCAGCAGGCGCGCAAAUUACCCAAUCCCGACACGGGGAGGUAGUGACAAUAAAUACUGAUACAGGGCUCUUUUGGGUCUUGUAAUUGGAAUGAGUACAAUUUAAACCUCUUAACGAGGAACAAUUGGAGGGCAAGUCUGGUGCCAGCAGCCGCGGUAAUUCCAGCUCCAAUAGCGUAUAUUAAAGUUGUUGCAGUUAAAAAGCUCGUAGUUGAACCUUUGGCCUGGCUGGCAGGUCCGCCUCACCGCGUGCACUUGUCCGGCCGGGCCUUCUCUUCUGGAGAACCGCAUGCCCUUCACUGGGUGUGUUGGGGACCAGGACUUUUACUUUGAAAAAAUUAGAGUGUUCAAAGCAGGCCUUUGCUCGAAUACGUUAGCAUGGAAUAAUAGAAUAGGACGUGCGGUCCUAUUUUGUUGGUUUCUAGGACCGCCGUAAUGAUUAAUAGGGACAGUCGGGGGCAUCAGUAUUCAAUUGUCAGAGGUGAAAUUCUUGGAUUUAUUGAAGACUAACUACUGCGAAAGCAUUUGCCAAGGAUGUUUUCAUUAAUCAGUGAACGAAAGUUAGGGGAUCGAAGACGAUCAGAUACCGUCGUAGUCUUAACCAUAAACUAUGCCGACUAGGGAUCGGGCGGUGUUAUUAUUUUGAC